UACGAAGGGGGCUAGCGUUGUUCGGAGUUACUGGGCGUAAAGGGCGCGUAGGCGGCCCUCCAAGUCGGGUGUGAAAGCCCACGGCUCAACCGUGGAAUUGCACUCGAUACUGGGGGGCUUGAGGAUGGGAGAGGAUGGUGGAAUUCCCAGUGUAGAGGUGAAAUUCGUAGAUAUUGGGAAGAACACCGGUGGCGAAGGCGGCCAUCUGGACCAUUUCUGACGCUGAGGCGCGAAAGCGUGGGGAGCAAACAGG
This 253-nucleotide ribosomal RNA is filed under the name uncultured bacterium. RNAcentral describes it as "partial 16S ribosomal RNA". It matches the Rfam family "Bacterial small subunit ribosomal RNA", at positions 524 to 776 of the family's 1533-position model. The record is from RNAcentral.